Long non-coding RNA from Olea europaea var. sylvestris, 3356 nucleotides. RefSeq lists it as uncharacterized. The transcript has 5 exons. Lineage: Eukaryota; Viridiplantae; Streptophyta; Magnoliopsida; Lamiales; Oleaceae. The record is from RefSeq and is a predicted model, not a curated record.
UAACCCGUGCACUCAUUUUCCCCCAAUUUGAGCUCCCCCAAAACAACUCCCUCUCGGUUAGGGCCUCACCCACCAUCCGGCCGCACCUCCGGUCACAAUAUAAGCACUGGAGAACACCGCUGUAGCCCGACCUCCUGAAGAACACCUGCAUUUCCCCCAUUUUGUUCUCUCACAAAACCCUCUCGAAGCUAAGCCACAUCCACCAUCCUCCUCGGCGGCAUCGUACCUCCGGUCAUAAUAUGAACACCGAAAAUCAUUACACCACUUACUGCGGUUGAAGGCUCGAGAAAUGGGAGCUUGGUGGGGUUGAUUUCGGCUUAACUGAGAUCUACAUUACUCUGCUGGUCAGUGUGAAAACCAUUAAACGACUUACUGCGGUUGACCGCUCGAGAAAUGGGAGCUCGAUGGGGUUGAUUUCGACUUAACUAUGGUCUGCAUUAAUCUAUGGUUCAGGUUAACUCUGUGACCUCCGGCUAGCAUAUUCAUUACAAAAGUCAGAGAUUAGAAGCACGCAAUUAUAUUGGAAGAGAUUAUGGAAGACGUGUAUGAUGAAUUGUUGGUGGAGUCCGAUAAUGAGAGCGCUGCAAAUAAUAUGAAUAGGGUUGAAAAUGAAACAUCAGGACAAAAUGGUACGAUUGUAGCGGAGAUGGGUAUGAUGUUCAACGAAACAGACAUGUUUGAGAUGUACAAGAGAUAUGCUUAUGAUAUAGGUUUUCCCGUCAGAAGAUGGAACUCAAAAAAAAAGGGGAUGAUGGCAUUCUGAGAUAUGUAACUUUCACAUGCAGUCGUGAAGGCAGAAGAAGUAGUAAUGCAAGUGGGUCUUUAAAGCCUAAACCAAUUAGUCAAACUCACUGUAAAGCAAGGACCUCAUCCUCCUCAGACAGUCAUGGAAGGUGGAGAAUUAACACAGUCCACCUCGAUCACAACCAUGAAACUAGUCCUUCUAAAUCUUGGUUGUAUCGAUGCAAUAGGGAGUUGAGUGCAAAUGUGAAACGUAAACUUGAAGUGAAUGAUGUAGCAGGAUUUCCGUUACAUAAAAGUUACAACUCUGCAGUUGUGGAAGUAGGUGGAUAUGAGAACAUAAUGUGUAUAGAGCAGGAUUGCAUAAACUAUAUUAAACAAGUUAGACGUUCACGACUUGGAGAGGGAGACGUAACUGCAAUACAGUCCUACUUUUCGAAAAUGCAAAGUGCUUGGGAUUUUACUUCAGCAUUGAUUUAGAUGACGUGUUUCAACUAAAGAAUGUUUUCUGCGCGGAUAAUAGGCGUAGGCAAGAGUAUAAAGAGUUCGGAGAUGUUAUGACAUUUGAUACCACUUAUCUCACUAACAAGUACAAUAUGCCGUUUGCCCAUUUCGUUGGAGUGAAUCGUCAUGGCCAGUCAAUAUUGUUUGGUUGUGGUUUGUUAGCUAAUGAGGACACGGAUACGUUUGUCUAGCUAUUCAGGAUGUGGCUUGAGUGCAUUCAUGGACAAGCUCCGAAUGUAAUAGUUACUGGUUAGGAUCGGGCCAUGCAAAACGCAAUUGGGAUCAUUUUCCCAUGCACGAGACAUAGAUGGUGUCUAUGACACAUUUUGAAGAAGUUGCCGAAGAAGUUUGGAUAUCAUGUUGACAAAGGCAGGAUAUUUUCGACUUUCCAUAAUGUGUUUUACGAUUCACGAACUGUUGAAGAAUUUGAAGAAGGAUGGCAACAGACGAUCGAUACAUAUGACUUGCAUGAAAAUGAUUGGUUGUCAGUAUUGUAUCAUAAUAGAGAUCGUUGGGUUCCUUCUUAAGAACCACAUUAUGGGUAUGGAUGUCCACAACUCAACGAAGUGAGAGUAUGAACACGUUCUUCGAUGGGUAUGUGCAUUCGAAGACCUCUUUGAAGCAAUUUGUAGAGUAGUACGAAAUAGCAUUGAGAAGUAAAGUGGAGAAGGAGUUCCACGCUAAUUUCAGGUCAUACUCCCAAAUGGUGCCCUAUGCAACGAAUUAUGAAAUUGAGAAGCAUUUCCAAUCAGUUUAUACCAUUUCAAAGUUCAGAGAAGUGCAAGAUAGUUCAAGGGAAUGUUUUACUAUCCUCGUUUCUUCUUUUGAGGGAUGUUCGGGGACGACAUAUGAGGUGGGUAAGGAUGUGAUGUAUCACGAGCACCGGAGGAAAAAUAAAAUUUUGCCUCAUUUGAUUUGGAGCAGCGUGAAAUAAUUUGCAGUUGCCACUUAUUCGAGUUCAGGGAAUUAUCUGCAGACAUGCAAUUGCGGUAUUGAUUCGAGACGACAUCACACAAUUGCCCGAGAAGUACACACUACGGAAAUGGAGGAGAGAUGUCACUAGAGCAUACACGAGAGUUGUAGUGCACUACGAUGGUUAGGUCAGUACUCCAGGACAGUUGAGAUAUGACAAGAUGUGUAAGGCCUUUUCGCAAGUGGCUUAUCUUGCUACAGAUGACUAAGUCCAGACACAUGCUAUAAUGGACUGGAUAAAAUCUCAAGCUACGGAGCUUAUGUCAACAAAGUUGUGUUCUGGAAAUAGUAUCAUUUCGUAGCAUAUUCUUCAUUUAGCCUCACCAUAUAUUGAUGCGCAAACUACCGGUAGCCAGGGCAUACGGGAUUCGAAAUUAACAAAGCAAAAAGGCACACCAUGAAAGCUUCAAAAAGAAGUCCAUUGGAGUCUACGUCAAAGAAAUCAGGGGUAAUGUAGUAUGUUAGCAUCUCAUUUCUAGUACAAUCUAAAUCUAGUUUCGGGUUUAUAUGUAGGAAACUUCGAAAUCGAAUAAAGGAAAGGGACAGAGAGCUAGACAAAGUAAUAUAGAAGAGGGCGACACCCAAAGUCAAACAUUUACAGAAGACUUGCCGUCAUCGAAUUGGGUCUCGCCAUAGUCAACGAAUGUUGAUCUCAAUGCCGAAGGUCAUUCGUUUUCAUACUUCCAUCCGCAUUUACAGCAUCUAGAUGACCUAAAGUGAUAAAUUGGAGGAUUGCAGCUCCGACAUUAACAAGAAUGAUUAGCAAUUGCAAUCUGGAAGGUUAAUCAGAAGGAGAAGCUAAGCCUCGUGAACGGAGAGAUGUAUAUAUUGUACACGUAACAAGGAUGCAUAUAUUAGUCAGAUAUCGUAUUUUGAUUCAGGAAAUGCGUUCUUCCCUGCUUAUUUUUGGAGUCCAUCACUCAUGAACAUAGCAAUUCAGUAUGCUACUUUACACAUGCAAGACUUGAGUGGCUGCUUGUAUAAGCAUGUUUUUGUUCUUACUGCAUUGCAUGUGUAGUUUCUUAAACAUUGAAUUGGUGGAUGAAUUUGUAGUCGUCAUAUAGAGCAAAUGAGCUUUGUUUUUAUUUUUUAAGUACAUUGGCAUAAAUUAAAUGAAAUGUAGCUUGUUCUUUGGAGUA